CACCCUUUGACUUAUGUCAUAAAACAAACAUUAUAAACCCGCACAUCUUGAAUCUACCCUAUUUUAACAGUACCUGCCCUACAACAAAACCCACCUUUUGAAGAAUGAUACCCAUUUACCCGUAAAGUUAUGACACUUUAUUGCUUAUUCAAUUUUUUUUUUUCAUUGAGCACAUGCAUCACCAGUUGGGAAACCUUGGCCUAAAAUAAGCACAUACCCACCCUUAUAAUAACCACUGAGCACAUGCAUUAGCAUUUGGGAAACCUUGGCCUUAAAUAGGC
RNAcentral lists this long non-coding RNA (281 nucleotides) under Pelobates cultripes (western spadefoot toad). The record is from RNAcentral. Lineage: Eukaryota; Metazoa; Chordata; Amphibia; Anura; Pelobatidae.